This is a transfer RNA of 73 nucleotides. It matches the Rfam family "tRNA". Rfam says of the family: Transfer RNA (tRNA) molecules are approximately 80 nucleotides in length. Their secondary structure includes four short double-helical elements and three loops (D, anti-codon, and T loops).
AGCCCCGUGGUGUAGCGGUCAAGCAUACAAGCCUCUGGAGCUUGUGACCCCGGUUCGAAUCCGGGCGGGGCUA